Molecule: ribosomal RNA, 497 nt
Filed under: uncultured bacterium
Lineage: Bacteria
Description: partial 16S ribosomal RNA
Rfam family: Bacterial small subunit ribosomal RNA
Source: RNAcentral
GAUGAACGCUGGCGGCGUGCCUAAUACAUGCAAGUCGAGCGAACGGACGAGAAGCUUGCUUCUCUGAUGUUAGCGGCGGACGGUUGAGUAACACGUGGAUAACCUACCUAUAAGACUGGGAUAACUUCGGGAAACCGGCGCUAAUACCGGAUAAUAUUUUGUACCGCAUGGUUCAAAAGUGAAAGACGGUCUUGCUGUCACUUAUAGAUGGAUCCGCGCUGCAUUAGCUAGUUGGUAAGGUAACGGCUUACCAAGGCAACGAUGCAUAGCCGACCUGAGAGGGUGAUCAGCCACACUGGAACUGAGACACGGUCCAGAGUCCUAAGGGAGGCAGCAGUAGGGAAUCGUCCGCAAUGGGCGAAAGCCUGACGGAGCAACGCCGCGUGAGUGAUGAAGGUCUUCGGAUCGUAAAACACUGUUAUUAGGGAAGAACAUAUGUGUAAGUAACUGUGCACAUCUUGACGGUACCUAAUCAGAAAGCCACGGCUAACUACGUG